AGCGAACGCUAGCGGGUGGCUUAACACAUGCAAGUCGAGCGGGGUCUUCGGGCCCAGCGGCGAACGGGUGAGUAACACGUAGGAUAUCUGUCUUUUGGUGGGGCAUAGCCGGGGGAAACCCCGAUUAAUACCGCAUAUGGCCUAUGGGUCAAAGCCUUCGGGCGCCAAGAGAGGAGCCUGCGGCCCAUUAUUUAAUCCUAGUUGGUGGGGUAAUGGCCUACCAAGGGUACGAUGGGUAGCUGGUCUGAGAGGACGAUCAGCCACACUGGAACUGAGACACGGUCCAGACUCCUACGGGAGGCAGCAGUGGGGAAUAUUGCGCAAUGGGCGGAAGCCUGACGCAGCCAACCCGCGUGUGUGAUGAAGGCC
RNAcentral lists this ribosomal RNA (369 nucleotides) under uncultured bacterium. Its description in RNAcentral is "bacterial SSU rRNA". It matches the Rfam family "Bacterial small subunit ribosomal RNA", at positions 29 to 416 of the family's 1533-position model. The record is from RNAcentral.